GAAGGUUUUAUGUCAUUUUUUUUUUUAAAAAAAAAAGAGUGGUCUUUUUAGAGACAAAUUUUUGGUUGUGACCCCGAGAACUCUGGAACAUUGUCACAUCACAGUGGUAUUUAAGAGCAGGAGCCACGAUGUCUCCAAAGCUCUGGGGGUUUGCUGAUAACACCUGUGACUGCAAUGGCUGCCCAUGAGAAGAUCCUUUCUCUUCAGUGGCUACCACUGAGUGCCCCAGGGGCCAGCGGUGACCAGAUGGUUUUUGAUACAGUGUGAACUGGACGCACUGGAUGAAGAGCCCUGGCAGUUUCACAGCAUCGCUUGUUAACAGCCUAAAAGUGGUGCGCCUCCCCCUCACCCGCUCUUGAUGUCAAGCUGUAAAGAAUAAAUCAACCAAAGAAAGGAUGGUGAUAUGACUUCGUGGGGAAGAACGCAAGCUCUGUAAGGAGAAGGACCUUAGUUGAGUCCCCAGAAGCCACACCAAAACUAAGCACAGUUACAUGUACACAAGAUCCCAGCACUGGCAGGUAGAGACACGUCACUCCUGACAGCUCGCUAGCCAGGUAACCGAGGUGAAAUAACAGGAUCCCAUCUCAGUGACAGACGUAUCCCAGAGCAAUAAGGAGAAACAAAGGAAAGUAUGUGACAUCCACCUUUGUCUUCAGCAUGUGCACCGGGGCCCACAUGGGAAAUGCGUACACACACAAAAGAUAUCCUUACAAAGUUAAUUCGUAACACCACCAUAAGUCAUGCUGGCAAAAACUAUGCAAGAGAAGCAGAAAAAGAGAGUCAAUAAAAUAUUAUGUCCAACUUAAAUGAAACAUAAGCACUAUGGACAAACCCUUAACCUUCAGGUUCAACAUAUAUAGGCGCAAAUGCUCUACUGAAAAUAUGAACAAAAUCACCAAUAAUUAUAUGCCCAUAGUCUUAUACAGUUUUCAUCACGAUGUUAAAGAAUCAGGAAGGGAUAGGGAACAAUAGGGGUCUGGAGAAGUUAUCUUAUAUCAGAUGGUCAGGGAUAUACAAAAACACCCAAUAAUACAAAGUUAAAAACACUCAAGCAAUAUGAUUAGCUUCAUCAUGUCCAAGAUGAGCCCACCUGGACAGCUAGCCAGUCUCCAUUGCUAGCCCCAACACAAUGCUAAAAAACAAGGCCUUGGUGUUUUGUCACCUGAAGUACUGAGAGAGGAUGCUAGCUAGCUAUAACAGGUCCCAAAUUUUACUAGUACUUUUACAUGCAGACUUUUUAAAAGGCUUUCUUAAGCAAACGCCUACUUUUGUCAGGUACUUGGAGGAAGAAGGGUUGUAAUAUAUAAAGGGGUAAUGAAAUGCAUGGGAGGCUACUAGUUAAAGAAACUAAAGAAGCAAAGAUAGGCCCAGGAAUGAGUCAAGAGAAGGCCAAUAAGAUGUCUAGGGCAUUGGAGAGGAAGAGUGAGGAGAAGAGGUACGGGAAGAAGCCUGUUGACCUAAGUCUGAUCCCCAGAAAGCACAUGGUAAAAGGACACAACUGUUAUCUGAUCUCCACACAUGCCAUGGCACAUGUGUACACCUGUUCACAUGUGUACCUUCAGCAACAAAAUGAAUAAAAUAAAAAUGAAUAUUAAAAAAAGAUAUACAGGGAUGAAUGAAAAAAAAAAAGUCCAGAGGUGCACACAACCUUCAACCUUACAAAAUGUAUCUAGGGAAGCCAGAGAUUAGAGAAAAAAUAUUUCUGGUCACUAACCUAAAUUAAUGGAGGAGAAAGCACUCAAAAUGAACAAUUUCGUAUUAUUUAUGAACCUUUUCAAAUUUAUGAGAAACCUAUAUUUUAUGAAAGUAAGCGACUCGGUACAACACAGUUUAUUUAUCUGCCUGGAACACUAAGGAAAUCAUUCAGCUAGAAAACCAUGAAAUAUCUCUUUAGAGCUUCAAAGCUGCAAUCCAGACUCCAGAAAAUAGACAUGCUUAAACAAGUUGUUCUGUUACACGCAGAUAAAAACAGGGGAAAAUUGAUUUCUUUUCCUACUUUUUACCUGCUUGUUUAAAAAAAAAAGGUCACAAAAAACCCUAGAUAUCAUUAUUAUUAUAUACUCCACAAAAUUCCCUGACUUAAAUGGAUAAUCACUUGAAUACAGGCCUUGAAACUAUUUUCACAAGCACAUGCCUUGUCUUAAGCUGAAAGUUGCUUUCAGGACAGUGGGCAGCAUUUUAGUUUUAUGACACUGUCCUACUUUUGACAGAGUUCCUAUUUGGGAAGGAGAUAUUACAGGUGAGUGAGCCUGAAAGGCUCAUUUGCUCCCAUGGUAUCCCUGUGGACCUACGUUGGAGACGUGUGAGGAGUAAAUGAGACAUAUAACACCAGGGAAAAGGUUAGCCCGACACGGUAAAGCUUCACCCUUUGCUGCCUCUGCAUCAGUAGAGACCUUUCUGCUAGGCUGUGUAAUCUCAUGAAGCCUGGGAGAGACGCUGUAUUUCUCCUAUUCAAACACAAUUCCAGACAGGUUAGCUUGAUGGAGAAACUUUCUUAAUCUUUUCUAUGAAGAAGAAUUAGUCUGUCUGAGUUUUGAAGGUAACUUGACUUUCUUUGAAAGAGUAGAUUUAACUGUUUUCUUUAAUCAAGCUCAAGUGAGGUUCAGACUUCAACAGGAAUAAAUAGUAAAGGAAAAGGGGCAGAAAAACACUAGAUGUGAAUCUUCUAUACGGUGUAAAGUUAUUUUUAUCGGACACCAAAUAGUCUCAAAUGCUAUUAAUACUAGUGUAAAAUGAAUUUAACUAGCACUUUAAUGAAUUUCAAUGAAAAUUAAGCUAUGAGUUACUGAUAUAAGUUAGUAGUUGUCUUAGUCCUUUGUGGGGCAGUUCGUUUGCUGAAACUACACUGAAAGCUAACUAUGCGGAAUCACAGGAUUGUUCUGACCAGCAGGUGGAACAGAAUCUGUCUGUCUAAAAUAUGCUACAUCAUAUCGAUUAAAUAUAUCCAAGUUCUGGUUUAUCCCAAGAAAUUAAAAACAAAUAUUUUAGGAUUUGGUGACAAAUUCUAAACACCCUGAAAAUUGCAACUUCUAAAGUGCACAGAUUAUGACAGAUGCUGCGUAAAUCUGUCAAGUAAACAAAUGAGCAAAUUAAUGGACUGAUCACAAAAGGGCUAAUUCUAAAAAUGCAUAUCUCUCUAGCUACUCCUUGUUUAAUGUAUAAAAGGUUUUUAUGUGCGCUGUAUCAGUCAGCUCCUUAGCAUAUUCCUCUCCAGAGCAGUAAUUAUGUGCCACUUUAGUAGUACGUUACCCACAUUAGAAACAAAUUUUUGUUUAAUCUUCAGAAAGGCCAAAAACCAGGCCUUUGAUGACAAAAGGAGUGAAAGAUCCUUUGGAGAUGGGAUGAGGAAAACGGACAAAACCAAGAUUCCUGUUACCUGA
RNAcentral lists this small RNA (3380 nucleotides) under Rattus norvegicus (Norway rat). RNAcentral describes it as "uncharacterized LOC102549549". Lineage: Eukaryota; Metazoa; Chordata; Mammalia; Rodentia; Muridae. The record is from RNAcentral.